RNAcentral lists this transfer RNA (71 nucleotides) under Candidatus Psyllophila symbiotica. RNAcentral describes it as "Enterobacteriaceae bacterium Cmel17 tRNA-Cys". It matches the Rfam family "tRNA". From Rfam's summary of the family: Transfer RNA (tRNA) molecules are approximately 80 nucleotides in length. Their secondary structure includes four short double-helical elements and three loops (D, anti-codon, and T loops). The record is from RNAcentral. Lineage: Bacteria; Pseudomonadati; Pseudomonadota; Gammaproteobacteria; Enterobacterales; Enterobacteriaceae.
AGCGCGUUAACAAAUUGGUUAUGUAGCGGACUGCAAAUCCGUAUAAUCCGGUUCGAUUCCGGAACGCGCUU